AGAUGGCUGGGGGCAAGGCUGGAGCGACUCUGGGGCAGACACACCUUUCUCGGCAGAAUCUUGCCACCUUGGAUGUUAGUUACCAAGUUGACACCACUAUCACAUGAAGUUAUCAGCAGACAAGCCACAAUUAAUAUAGGUACAAUUGGUCAUGUAGCUCAUGGGAAGUCCACAGUUGUAAAAGCCAUUUCUGAAGUUCACACUGUCAGGUUCAAAAACGAACUAGAAAGAAACAUUACAAUCAAGCUUGGAUAUGCUAAUGCAAAGAUUUAUAAACUUGAUGACCCAAGUUGUCCUCGGCCAGAAUGUUAUAGGUCAUGUGGAAGUAGCACACCUGAUGAGUUUCAUAUAGAUAUUCCAGGGACCAAAGGGAACUUCAGAUUAUCCAGAUUAUUAUUUCCUUUGUUGACUGUCCUGCCCAUGAUAUUUUGAUAGCUACUAUGCUGAAUGGUGCAGCAGUGAUGGAUGCAGCUCUUCCUUUGAUAGCUGGUAAUGAAUCUUGUCCUCAGCCUCAGACUUCUGAACACAUAGCUGCUAUAGAAAUCAUGAAACUGAAGCAUAUUUUGAUUCUAC
Molecule: long non-coding RNA, 573 nt
Filed under: Marmota monax (woodchuck)
Lineage: Eukaryota; Metazoa; Chordata; Mammalia; Rodentia; Sciuridae
Source: RNAcentral